RNAcentral lists this ribosomal RNA (253 nucleotides) under uncultured bacterium. RNAcentral's name for it is "partial 16S ribosomal RNA". It matches the Rfam family "Bacterial small subunit ribosomal RNA", at positions 524 to 776 of the family's 1533-position model. The record is from RNAcentral.
UACGAAGGGUGCAAGCGUUGUUCGGAAUCAUGGGGCGUAAAGCGAGCGCGGGUGGCUUUAUAAGUCAGGAGUGAAAGCCCCGGGCUUAACCUGGGAAUGGCGUUUGAAACUGGAGGGCUGGAGUGUGGCAGAGGGAGGUGGAAUUCCACGUGUAGCAGUGAAAUGCGUAGAGAUGUGGAGGAACACCGAUGGCGAAGGCAGCCUCCUGGGCCUACACUGACGCUCAUGCACGAAAGCGUGGGGAGCAAAGAGG